RNAcentral lists this non-coding RNA (229 nucleotides) under Sporosarcina psychrophila. RNAcentral's name for it is "T-box sequence". It matches the Rfam family "T-box leader". From Rfam's summary of the family: Uncharged tRNA acts as the effector for transcription antitermination of genes in the T-box leader family. T-boxes are found upstream of many aminoacyl-tRNA synthetase genes and some amino acid biosynthetic genes usually in Gram-positive bacteria. The anticodon of a specific tRNA base pairs to a specifier sequence within the T-box motif, and the NCCA acceptor tail of the tRNA base pairs to a conserved bulge in the T-box antiterminator hairpin. The record is from RNAcentral. Lineage: Bacteria; Bacillati; Bacillota; Bacilli; Caryophanales; Caryophanaceae.
CUAACUAUUUUGAUGGAGACACACUUUAUCUACUGAAAUCUCAAGAGAGCUGAUGGAUGGUGCAAAUCAGUGAUUUCGCAGUAAAGUAGCACUCUGGAAUAGAUAAACUGAAACGUCUAGUAGGUUUAUCCGUCACAUGCGCGUUAAGCAUGCUAACCAAGACUGUCUAUUUUUUUCAGACAGUAAAAAGGGUGGUACCGCGUGAGUAUUUCAGCUUUUCGCCCCUUAC